UUUGGUAGAACCGGGGUAAGCGUGUAGUAGGAGGACCAGGUAAAUCCGGGCCUCAUAAACUCUGAGACGUGAUACCGAGCCGCUUCAGGCGAAGUCAUUGAUCCUAUGCUGCCUAGAAAAGCCCAGCAGCGAGUUGACAUGGUGCCCGUACCCCAAACCAACACAGGUUGACAGGUAGAGCAUACCAAGGCGAGUGGGAUAACUAUGGUUAAGGAACUCGGCAAAUUGCCUCCGUAACUUCGGGAGAAGGAGGACCCCAGUAGCGUGAUGAGACUUGCUCUCUGAGCGUGAAGGGGUGGCACAAAAUUGAGGGAAGCGACUGUUUACCAAAAACACAGCAGCGUGCUAAGCCGUAAGGCGCUGUAUACGCUGUGACUCCUGCCCGGUGCUGGAAGGUUACGGGGAUGGGUUAGUCCUUCGGGACGAAGCUCUGAACCUAAGCCCCAGUAAACGGCGGCCGUAACUAUAACGGUCCUAAGGUAGCGAAAUUCCUUGUCGGGUAAGUUCCGACCUGCACGAAUGGAGUAACGACUUUCCUACUGUCUCAACCAUAGACCCAGCGAAAUUGAAGUACGAGUAAAGAUGCUCGUUAGCUGCAGAAGGACGGAAAGACCCCGUGGACCUUUACUAUAACUUGAUGUUGUGUUUUGUCAUAUGUUGUGUAGGAUAGGUGGGAGACUUGGAAGCAUGGACGCUAGUCUGUGUGGAGUCAUCGUUGAAAUACCACCCUGCAUAUGGUGAGGCUCUAACCUAGACCCGUUAUCCGGGUUGGGGACAGCGUCAGGCGGGUAGUUUAACUGGGGCGGUUGCCUCCUAAAGAGUAACGGAGGCGCCCAAAGGUUCCCUCAGCCUGGUUGGCAAUCAGGCGUUGAGUGCAAUGGCAAAAGGGAGCUUGACUGCGAGACCUACAAGUCGAGCAGGAGCGAAAGCUGGGCAUAGUGAUCCGGCGGUUGCGUGUGGAAGCGCCGUCGCUCAACGGAUAAAAGGUACCCCGGGGAUAACAGGCUAAUCUUGCCCAAGCGUCCAUAGCGACGGCAAGGUUUGGCACCUCGAUGUCGGCUCAUCGCAUCCUGGGGCUGAAGCAGGUCCCAAGGGUUGGGCUGUUCGCCCAUUAAAGCGGUACGCGAGCUGGGUUCAGAACGUCGUGAGACAGUUCGGUCCCUAUCCUCUGCAGCCGGAGGUGAAUUGAGGAAAGCUGUCCCUAGUACGAGAGGACCGGGACGGACGCAGCUCUCGUGUGCCAGUUGUCCUGCCAAGGGCAUGGCUGGUUAGCGACCUGCGGAAAGGAUAACCGCUGAAAGCAUCUAAGCGGGAAGCCUCUUCCAAGAUGAAUUCACCCACAGGGUUAACCUGGUAAGGCCCGUGGUAGACCACCACGUUGAUAGGCCGGAAGUGUAAGCGUGGCAACACGUUCAGCUGACCGGUACUAAUCGGCCGAGGGCUUGAGUU
Molecule: ribosomal RNA, 1449 nt
Filed under: metagenome
Description: bacterial LSU rRNA
Rfam family: Bacterial large subunit ribosomal RNA
Source: RNAcentral